UUAUCAUACAUAAUUGAAUACCUUUGUAAGGCAAAGUAUAUUUUCCUAAUCUGUCGUUUUGAUAUAAUGCCUCUUGCUAAUAAACGUAAGUGAUGCACGCUGCAGUUUCGUGGAUCUCGGUGGAAGUGACUUUUUGUCCCAGGACAAUAAAACCCUUCUUGUCAGGUUGGCUUUCUAAUAAGCCCAGUGUUUUUGUCACAUGGUUGGUCUUACUCUGAGGCGCUAUGGAGGAGAUCCAACCCACACAAGCCACUGAAAUCGGAUUGCUGGAAGGCGGAGAAAAAUGAUGUAAAAUCACCAGAGGCAACAUUCGAUCACAUCUUGAAGGAGUGAAAGGGGGGAGGGGGGAGAAGAAGAAUGAAGAAAAAAAGUUUCCCAUGAAUUGAAGUGUUCAGUGGUGGAAGGAUUGGGGGCAAGAGAACAAGAGUAAUAAUCCUGCAGUUCCUGUAGAGCUAAUUUACCCCACAUAGAAGAAAUAACACAAAAUCACUUUUAAGGGGUUUAACAUACUUAAACAUUGAAGAAAUAUAUAUAUAUAUAUUUUUUUUAGGAUUUCUAGAUUUUUUUUUUUUUAAUCGAGGUCAUCAAUUAACGACCUGUAUGUAAGGUAAGAUAAGGUAAAAACUCCAACCAGUCAAGUACCAGAGUCUCCAACCCACACGUAAAACACUAGUAACUUUGUGGAUGUAACAUGAUGUGCGAAAGACGAUGAGGUUUGAAUACUCCUUUUUUGUUUUGGAUGGAGUCAGCUGAAAGACAAAGUUGUUUUCACUUCUGAAUCUCUGGCCUGUCAGUGGGGUUUAAAGGUGAAGAAAUAGACUCCGACAUCCAAAAGAAUACAAAGCCAAGUUUAUUAGCAAGUCUCAUGAAAGUCCUGAAUGAAGUGAUUCUCCCAUGA
Non-coding RNA from Poecilia reticulata (guppy), 898 nucleotides. NCBI's taxonomy places the organism in Eukaryota, Metazoa, Chordata, Actinopteri, Cyprinodontiformes, Poeciliidae. The record is from RefSeq and is a predicted model, not a curated record.